Molecule: ribosomal RNA, 253 nt
Filed under: uncultured bacterium
Lineage: Bacteria
Description: partial 16S ribosomal RNA
Rfam family: Bacterial small subunit ribosomal RNA
Source: RNAcentral
UACGUAGGGUGCAAGCGUUGUCCGGAAUUAUUGGGCGUAAAGAGCUCGUAGGUGGCCUGUCGCGUCGGCUGUGAAAACUCGGGGCUCAACCUCGGGCCUGCAUUCGAUACGGGCUGACUAGAGUUCGGUAGGGGAGACUGGAAUUCCUGGUGUAGCGGUGAAAUGCGCAGAUAUCAGGAGGAACACCGGUGGCGAAGGCGGGUCUCUGGGCCGAUACUGACGCUGAGGAGCGAAAGCGUGGGGAGCGAACAGG